This is a non-coding RNA of Zopfochytrium polystomum, 73 nucleotides long. NCBI's taxonomy places the organism in Eukaryota, Fungi, Chytridiomycota, Chytridiomycetes, Chytridiales, Chytridiaceae. The record is from the annotation of a GenBank genome assembly.
GCCUUCUUGGCUCAGUUGGCAGAGCGUCUCCCUAGUAAGGAGAAGGUCACCAGUUCGAUUCUGGUAGAAGGCA